GUUGAUAUUGAUCCACCAUUCGAUACUAUGGAUACGGUUAAUAAAAUUUUCAAUCUAUCUGUUUAAAAUUGCAAUUUCACACUUUAGACAGAGAGUUAGAAGCUGUUACAAAGAAUAUUAGGAGAUGAAUUUGAGUAAAAGCUCUGUGAGUUAAAUUUUUAUCUAAACAAAAGAUUACCGUUUCCGAAGAUCGUGAGAUGAUGGUUUAGUGUGAGGAAUAUUAGGAAUUUUAAUUUUUUUUUAUAGAAAAGAUUAGUUGAGAUAAGCACACGAAACUGUUUUGUAUUUUUUUUUGCAUUUAUGUUUUUAAAAUUUGUAAAACAUAUGACAUGUGUCAGAUUUCUAUUUGUUAGGCGACUUGCGCUUUAGUAUAUAAGGUAUUGUGAUUAUAUAUUAAUAUAUUUUCAAGUUUUGUGAAAUAAAUUCUUAAUAUGAAAUAAAAAAAUUGAGAAUCUCCUUCAUUUUUUCUAAUUUUU
RNAcentral lists this long non-coding RNA (476 nucleotides) under Brassica rapa (field mustard). Its description in RNAcentral is "long non-coding RNA (BRAP_LNC005989)". The record is from RNAcentral. Lineage: Eukaryota; Viridiplantae; Streptophyta; Magnoliopsida; Brassicales; Brassicaceae.